Molecule: ribosomal RNA, 275 nt
Filed under: uncultured Lactobacillus sp.
Lineage: Bacteria; Bacillati; Bacillota; Bacilli; Lactobacillales; Lactobacillaceae
Description: partial 16S ribosomal RNA
Rfam family: Bacterial small subunit ribosomal RNA
Source: RNAcentral
UGAUUGACGACGGUUUACCAACGAGUGGCGGACGGGUGAGUAACACGUAGGCAACCUGCCCAGAAGCGGGGGACAACAUUUGGAAACAAGUGCUAAUACCGCAUAACAACGAAAACCACAUGAUUUUCGUUUAAAAGAUGGUUUCGGCUAUCACUUCUGGAUGGGCCUGCGGCGCAUUAGCUUGUUGGUGAGGUAACGGCUCACCAAGGCUGUGAUGCGUAGCCGAGUUGAGAGACUGAUCGGCCACAAUGGAACUGAGACACGGUCCAUACUCC